Molecule: ribosomal RNA, 406 nt
Filed under: uncultured bacterium
Lineage: Bacteria
Description: partial 16S ribosomal RNA
Rfam family: Bacterial small subunit ribosomal RNA
Source: RNAcentral
AUUGAACGCUGGCGGCAGGCCUAACACAUGCAAGUCGCACGAGUGGCGGACGGGUGAGUAAUGUCUGGGAAACUGCCUGAUGGCGGGGGAUAACUACUGGAAACGGUAGCUAAUACCGCAUACCAUCAGAUGUGCCCAGAUGGGAUUAGCUAGUUGGUGGGGUAAAGGCUCACCAAGGCGACGAUCCCUAGCUGGUCUGAGAGGAUGACCAAGCAAACUGGAACUGAGACACGGUCCAGACUCCUAAGGGAGGCAGCAGUGGGGAAUAUGGGACAAUGGGGGCAAGGCGGAUGCAGCCGAGGCGCGGGUAUGAAGGAGGCCUUCGGGGUGGAAAGUACUUUCAGCGGGGAGGCGUUACCCGCAGAAGAAGCACCGGCUAACUCCGUGCCAGCAGCCGCGGUAAUAC